GUAGGGUGCGAGCGUUAAUCGGAAUUACUGGGCGUAAAGCGUGCGCAGGCGGUUGGUUAAGUCUGAUGUGAAAGCCCCGGGCUCAACCUGGGAAUGGCAUUGGAAACUGGCUAGCUGGAGUGUGGCARAGGGGGGUGGAAUUCCGCGUGUAGCAGUGAAAUGCGUAGAGAUGCGGAGGAACACCGAUGGCGAAGGCAGCCCCCUGGGCCAACACUGACSCUCAGGCACGAAAGCGUGGGGAGCAAACAGGAUUAGAUACCCUGGUAGUCCACGCCCUAAACGAUGGCAACUGGGUGUUGGGGAAGCGAUUCCUUGGUACCGUAGCUAACGCGUGAAGUUGCCCGCCUGGGGAGUACGGCCGCAAGGUUA
RNAcentral lists this ribosomal RNA (369 nucleotides) under uncultured bacterium. Its description in RNAcentral is "bacterial SSU rRNA". It matches the Rfam family "Bacterial small subunit ribosomal RNA", at positions 527 to 896 of the family's 1533-position model. The record is from RNAcentral.